Molecule: ribosomal RNA, 427 nt
Filed under: uncultured bacterium
Lineage: Bacteria
Also listed under: 2 other names
Description: bacterial SSU rRNA
Rfam family: Bacterial small subunit ribosomal RNA
Source: RNAcentral
UAGGGAAUCUUCGGCAAUGGGGGCAACCCUGACCGAGCAACGCCGCGUGAGUGAAGAAGGUUUUCGGAUCGUAAAGCUCUGUUGUAAGUCAAGAACGAGUGUGAGAGUGGAAAGUUCACACUGUGACGGUAGCUUACCAGAAAGGGACGGCUAACUACGUGCCAGCAGCCGCGGUAAUACGUAGGUCCCGAGCGUUGUCCGGAUUUAUUGGGCGUAAAGCGAGCGCAGGCGGUUUGAUAAGUCUGAAGUUAAAGGCUGUGGCUCAACCAUAGUUCGCUUUGGAAACUGUCAAACUUGAGUGCAGAAGGGGAGAGUGGAAUUCCAUGUGUAGCGGUGAAAUGCGUAGAUAUAUGGAGGAACACCGGUGGCGAAAGCGGCUCUCUGGUCUGUAACUGACGCUGAGGCUCGAAAGCGUGGGGAGCGAACA